This 639-nucleotide ribosomal RNA is filed under the name Bacillus sp. S238. Its description in RNAcentral is "bacterial SSU rRNA". It matches the Rfam family "Bacterial small subunit ribosomal RNA", at positions 57 to 676 of the family's 1533-position model. The record is from RNAcentral. Lineage: Bacteria; Bacillati; Bacillota; Bacilli; Caryophanales; Bacillaceae.
GCAAGUCGAGCGAAUGGAUUAAGAGCUUGCUCUUAUGAAGUUAGCGGCGGACGGGUGAGUAACACGUGGGUAACCUGCCCAUAAGACUGGGAUAACUCCGGGAAACCGGGGCUAAUACCGGAUAACAUUUUGAACCGCAUGGUUCGAAAUUGAAAGGCGGCUUCGGCUGUCACUUAUGGAUGGACCCGCGUCGCAUUAGCUAGUUGGUGAGGUAACGGCUCACCAAGGCAACGAUGCGUAGCCGACCUGAGAGGGUGAUCGGCCACACUGGGACUGAGACACGGCCCAGACUCCUACGGGAGGCAGCAGUAGGGAAUCUUCCGCAAUGGACGAAAGUCUGACGGAGCAACGCCGCGUGAGUGAUGAAGGCUUUCGGGUCGUAAAACUCUGUUGUUAGGGAAGAACAAGUGCUAGUUGAAUAAGCUGGCACCUUGACGGUACCUAACCAGAAAGCCACGGCUAACUACGUGCCAGCAGCCGCGGUAAUACGUAGGUGGCAAGCGUUAUCCGGAAUUAUUGGGCGUAAAGCGCGCGCAGGUGGUUUCUUAAGUCUGAUGUGAAAGCCCACGGCUCAACCGUGGAGGGUCAUUGGAAACUGGGAGACUUGAGUGCAGAAGAGGAAAGUGGAAUUCCAUGUGU